This 207-nucleotide ribosomal RNA is filed under the name uncultured bacterium. Its description in RNAcentral is "partial 16S ribosomal RNA". It matches the Rfam family "Bacterial small subunit ribosomal RNA", at positions 568 to 774 of the family's 1533-position model. The record is from RNAcentral.
CGUGUAGGCGGGCAGGUAAGUCGGGCGUGAAAUCCCUGGGCUCAACCCAGGAACUGCACUCGAAACUACUUGUCUUGAGUGUCGGAGAGGAAAGCGGAAUUCCUGGUGUAGAGGUGAAAUUCGUAGAUAUCAGGAGGAACACCAGUGGCGAAGGCGGCUUUCUGGACGAUAACUGACGCUGAGACGCGAAAGCGUGGGGAGCAAACA